RNAcentral lists this ribosomal RNA (459 nucleotides) under uncultured bacterium. RNAcentral describes it as "bacterial SSU rRNA". It matches the Rfam family "Bacterial small subunit ribosomal RNA", at positions 29 to 531 of the family's 1533-position model. The record is from RNAcentral.
AACGAACGCUGGCGGCAGGCCUAACACAUGCAAGUCGAGCGAACCCUUCGGGGUUAGCGGCGGACGGGUUAGUAACGCGUGGGAAUAUACCCUUUGGUACGGAAUAGCCUCGGGAAACUGAGAGUAAUACCGUAUGUGCCCUUCGGGGAAAGGAUUAUCGCCAAAGGAUUAGCCCGCGUUGGAUUAGAUAGUUGGUGGGGUAAGUGGCCUACCAAGUCUACGAUCCAUAGCUGGUUUGAGAGGAUGAUCAGCAACACUGGGACUGAGACACGGCCCAGACUCCUACGGGAGGCAGCAGUGGGGAAUCUUAGACAAUGGGCGCAAGCCUGAUCUAGCCAUGCCGCGUGGACGAUGAAGGCCUUAGGGUUGUAAAGUCCUUUCAGAUGGGAAGAUAAUGACGGUACCAUCAGAAGAAGCCCCGGCUAACUCCGUGCCAGCAGCCGCGGUAAUGUCUGUACU